RNAcentral lists this ribosomal RNA (931 nucleotides) under uncultured bacterium. RNAcentral's name for it is "bacterial SSU rRNA". It matches the Rfam family "Bacterial small subunit ribosomal RNA", at positions 28 to 904 of the family's 1533-position model. The record is from RNAcentral.
GACGAACGCUGGCGGCGUGGAUUAGGCAUGCAAGUCGAACGGUAUGGACCUUUCGGGGUUCAGAGAGUGGCGAACGGGUGAGUAACACGUAGGUAAUCUACCCUCAAGACGGGGACAACCCAGGGAAACUUGGGCUAAUACCGGAUGUGUGUAGUGGCUAUUUUUCUGAUUAUCAUUAUUUACGUAAGUGAGUAAUAAUAAGAAGGGAAAGUGGUUAUUACAUAAAAGGUGGCGUAAGCUGCCGCUUGGGGAUGAGCCUGCGUCCUAUUAGUUAGUUGGUGAGGUAACGGCUUACCAAGGCGAUGAUAGGUAGGCGGCCUUAACGGGUGGUCGCCCACACUGGGAUUGAGAUACGGCCCAGACUCCUACGGGAGGCAGCAGUCGAGAAUAGUCUACAAUGGACGGAAGUCUGAUAGUGCGACGCCGCGUGAACGAAGAAUCCCUUCGGGGUGUAAAGUUCUUUUAUACGUGAGCAGUGUCCUUUAUAUUAAUAGUAUAAGGGGAGAGAUAUUAGCGUAUGAAUAAGCAACGGCUAACUCCGUGCCAGCAGCCGCGGUAACACGGGGGUUGCGAGCGUUGUCCGGAAUUACUAGGCGUAAAGUGCAGGUAGGCGGAUAAAUAAGUUUAAGGUUAAAGGCUACGGCUUACCCGUAGUAAGGCGUUAGAUACUGUUUAUCUGGAAUGCGGUUGAGGGAGACAGAAUUCCUGGUGUAGCGGUGGAAUGCGCAGAGAUCAGGAGGAAUACCGAAGGCGAAGGCAGUCUUCUAAGCCGAUAUUGACGCUAAACUGCGAAGGUGUGGGAUCAAACAGGAUUAGAUACCCUGGUAGUCCACACAGUAAACGAUAAUCACUAGUGUUGGUCUUAGAGGAUUCAGUGCCGAGCUAACGCGAUAAGUGAUUCGCUGGGAGUACGAUCGCAAGUUGAACUCAA